RNAcentral lists this long non-coding RNA (542 nucleotides) under Gopherus agassizii (Agassiz's desert tortoise). RNAcentral's name for it is "lncRNA (ENSGAGG00000009682.1)". Lineage: Eukaryota; Metazoa; Chordata; Testudines; Testudinidae. The record is from RNAcentral.
GUAAAGGUCUGGCUUCUGCUGGCAAGGUAUUUAGUGGCAGUGUCUAUAAACAAAGCAGUAGCGGGAGUAUACAGCUAGCAAGGCAGAAGGAUUACGAUGAGAUUCCUGCAAACUAGAAUUUUCUGUUUUGAAGAUGUGCCCAGUUUGGAGGAAGACUCUGGGACGGCCCCAUCUCUGAAGGAUGAAGGCUUGCAGAGCGGCUCACUCCAGCGCUUUGCACAGCUGAUGAAAAGGGGGAAAUUCCAGCAGUUCUACGGCCUGAUGGGAAAACGGGCUAGUGGGCACCAGGGAGAGACGUUCAUAGGACUCAUGGGACGAAGAUCCUCCAGUGGAGGUGGGUGAGCUCCCAUGCCUGACGCUCCUUAGAUCAGUCUCUCUCCCCUGUCAGCUAUUCUGACAGGGAGCUCUCAGCUCAUUAUUCACCUGUCCUCCUCCUCCACCCACUUAUUUAUAGGAAUCCUCUAUAGCUGCUGGAGUUUUCAAGAACUUUGCUUGAUGCAGACAGACCCUCACUGGUUCAAGUCUCUCUGGUGGCAUUUGUG